GGAUCAAUUUGUUGGUCGUGCCUCUGUACGUACUGGUAUUAUUGGUUUCUCCCUUCUGACGAACCAUGAUGUCAUUAAUUUGAUGUCGUGGAGAAUCAGGACUGUUACUUUGAAAAAAUUAGAGUGUUUAAAGCAAGCAAACGCUUGAAUACAUUAGCAUGGAAUAAUGAAAUAGGACGUUCGACCCUAUCUUGUUGGUUUCUAGGAUUGACGUA
Molecule: ribosomal RNA, 215 nt
Filed under: Campeiostachys nutans
Lineage: Eukaryota; Viridiplantae; Streptophyta; Magnoliopsida; Poales; Poaceae
Description: Elymus nutans partial small subunit ribosomal RNA
Rfam family: Eukaryotic small subunit ribosomal RNA (bases 37-215)
Source: RNAcentral